This 156-nucleotide small RNA is filed under the name Streptomyces sp. Its description in RNAcentral is "c-di-AMP sequence". It matches the Rfam family "c-di-AMP riboswitch aptamer (ydaO/yuaA leader)". Rfam says of the family: This family represents a conserved RNA structure found upstream of the ydaO and yuaA genes in Bacillus subtilis and related genes in other bacteria. The ydaO/yuaA element is thought to act as a genetic "off" switch for the ydaO and yuaA genes in its native state. It is believed that the element may be triggered during osmotic shock leading to activation of ydaO, a predicted amino acid transporter gene, and members of the yuaA-yubG operon which code for KtrA and KtrB K+ transporters. The record is from RNAcentral. Lineage: Bacteria; Bacillati; Actinomycetota; Actinomycetes; Kitasatosporales; Streptomycetaceae.
ACGUCACCUCCGCUCAAUCCGGCCUCGGCCGGAGCCGGGGACCCACUCAGUAAUCCGGGGUGAAUCGGGACGGACGCCGGGAGGCGUCGGGACCGUAGGGCGACCUUUCCGCCCGAACCCGUCAGCUAACCCGGUCGGCGGCCCACGGAAGGAGUC